RNAcentral lists this transfer RNA (63 nucleotides) under Deflorita sp. ZJZ-2017. RNAcentral's name for it is "tRNA-His". The record is from RNAcentral. Lineage: Eukaryota; Metazoa; Arthropoda; Insecta; Orthoptera; Tettigoniidae.
AUUUAAGUAGUUUAUAAAAAUACUGAUUUGUGGUGUCGGAGAUGUAGAAGUCUACCUUAGAUC